CUGCCCUCAAGCACGGCUUGUGUGUUGGGCCCCCGUCCCCCCCCAAGGGGACGGGCCCGAAAGGCAGCGGCGGCACCGUGUCCGGUCCUCGAGCGUAUGGGAAGCAACUUUUUGUCACCCGCUCCUGUAGGUCCGGCCGGCGGCCUGCCCAACCCCAACCAAAAUGUUUUUUUAACCA
Molecule: unclassified non-coding RNA, 178 nt
Filed under: Aspergillus penicillioides
Lineage: Eukaryota; Fungi; Ascomycota; Eurotiomycetes; Eurotiales; Aspergillaceae
Description: partial internal transcribed spacer 2
Source: RNAcentral